AAAUUGAAGAGUUUGAUCAUGGCUCAGAUUGAACGCUGGCGGCAGGCCUAACACAUGCAAGUCGAACGGUAACAGGAAGCAGCUUGCUGCUUCGCUGACGAGUGGCGGACGGGUGAGUAAUGUCUGGGAAACUGCCUGAUGGAGGGGGAUAACUACUGGAAACGGUAGCUAAUACCGCAUAAUGUCGCAAGACCAAAGAGGGGGACCUUCGGGCCUCUUGCCAUCGGAUGUGCCCAGAUGGGAUUAGCUUGUUGGUGGGGUAACGGCUCACCAAGGCGACGAUCCCUAGCUGGUCUGAGAGGAUGACCAGCCACACUGGAACUGAGACACGGUCCAGACUCCUACGGGAGGCAGCAGUGGGGAAUAUUGCACAAUGGGCGCAAGCCUGAUGCAGCCAUGCCGCGUGUAUGAAGAAGGCCUUCGGGUUGUAAAGU
This 434-nucleotide ribosomal RNA is filed under the name Shigella sonnei. Its description in RNAcentral is "bacterial SSU rRNA". It matches the Rfam family "Bacterial small subunit ribosomal RNA", at positions 1 to 431 of the family's 1533-position model. The record is from RNAcentral. Lineage: Bacteria; Pseudomonadati; Pseudomonadota; Gammaproteobacteria; Enterobacterales; Enterobacteriaceae.